Molecule: ribosomal RNA, 440 nt
Filed under: uncultured bacterium
Lineage: Bacteria
Description: partial 16S ribosomal RNA
Rfam family: Bacterial small subunit ribosomal RNA
Source: RNAcentral
UCUACGGGAGGCAGCAGUGGGGGAUAUUGCACAAUGGGGGAAACCCUGAUGCAGCGACGCCGCGUGUGGGAAGACGGUCUUCUGGAUUGUAAACCACUGUCCCCAGGGACGAAAAUGACGGUACCUGGGGAGGAAGCUCCGGCUAACUACGUGCCAGCAGCCGCGGUAAUACGUAGGGAGCAAGCGUUGUCCGGAAUUACUGGGUGUAAAGGGAGCGUAGGCGGGGAUGCAAGUUGGGUGUCAAAACUACCGGCUCAACCGAUAGUCGCACUCAAAACUGCAGCUCUUGAGUGAAGUAGAGGCAGGCGGAAUUCCUAGUGUAGCGGUGAAAUGCGUAGAUAUUAGGAGGAACACCAGUGGCGAAGGCAGCUUACCAAGCUACUUCUGACGUUGAGGCACGAAAGCGUGGGGAGCAAACAGGAUUAGAUACCCGAGUAGUC